Molecule: ribosomal RNA, 1341 nt
Filed under: uncultured bacterium
Lineage: Bacteria
Description: bacterial SSU rRNA
Rfam family: Bacterial small subunit ribosomal RNA
Source: RNAcentral
GGCGUGCCUAACACAUGCAAGUCGAACGGAACUGUUUUGAAAGAUUUCUUCGGAAUGAAUUUGAUUUAGUUUAGUGGCGGACGGGUGAGUAACGCGUGAGUAACCUGCCUUCAAGAGGGGGAUAACAUUCUGAAAAGAAUGCUAAUACCGCAUGACAUAUCGGAACCACAUGGUUUUGAUAUCAAAGAUUUUAUCGCUUGAAGAUGGACUCGCGUCCGAUUAGUUAGUUGGUGAGGUAACGGCUCACCAAGACCGCGAUCGGUAGCCGGACUGAGAGGUUGAACGGCCACAUUGGGACUGAGACACGGCCCAGACUCCUACGGGAGGCAGCAGUGGGGGAUAUUGCGCAAUGGGGGCAACCCUGACGCAGCAACGCCGCGUGAAGGAUGAAGGUUUUCGGAUUGUAAACUUCUUUUAUUAAGGACGAAAAAUGACGGUACUUAAUGAAUAAGCUCCGGCUAACUACGUGCCAGCAGCCGCGGUAAUACGUAGGGAGCAAGCGUUGUCCGGAUUUACUGGGUGUAAAGGGUGCGUAGGCGGCUUUGCAAGUCAGAUGUGAAAUCUAUGGGCUCAACCCAUAAACUGCAUUUGAAACUGUAGAGCUUGAGUGAAGUAGAGGCAGGCGGAAUUCCCCGUGUAGCGGUGAAAUGCGUAGAGAUGGGGAGGAACACCAGUGGCGAAGGCGGCCUGCUGGGCUUUAACUGACGCUGAGGCACGAAAGCGUGGGUAGCAAACAGGAUUAGAUACCCUGGUAGUCCACGCUGUAAACGAUGAUUACUAGGUGUGGGGGGUCUGACCCCUUCCGUGCCGGAGUUAACACAAUAAGUAAUCCACCUGGGGAGUACGCCGGCAACGGUGAAACUCAAAGGAAUUGACGGGGGCCCGCACAAGCGGAGGAACAUGUGGUUUAAUUCGAUGAUACGCGAGGAACCUUACCCGGGCUUGAAAGUUACUGACGAUUCUGGAAACAGGAUUUCCCUUCGGGGCAGGAAACUAGGUGCUGCAUGGUUGUCGUCAGCUCGUGCCGUGAGGUGUCGGGUUAAGUCCCAUAACGAGCGCAACCCCUACCGUUAGUUGCCAUCAGGUCAAGCUGGGCACUCUGGCGGGACUGCCGGUGUAAGCCGAGAGGAAGGUGGGGAUGACGUCAAAUCAGCACGGCCCUUACGUCCGGGGCUACACACGUGUUACAAUGGUAGGUACAGAGGGCAGCUACCCAGUGAUGGGAUGCGAAUCUCGAAAGCCUAUCUCAGUUCGGAUCGGAGGCUGAAACCCGCCUCCGUGAAGUUGGAUUCGCUAGUAAUCGCGCAUACAGCCAUGGCGCGGUGAAUACGUUCCCGGGCC